GCAAAGCGGAAAAGUCGAAUACGAGCACGAAAGGCUUGCUGGGAAGAGUUAAAAAAUUAUUAAUCUUUUAGGUCUUUUAGCGAUUCCUAGCAAACCUUUCGCGCUCGUAUUCGACUUUUCCUCUUUGCUC
Molecule: non-coding RNA, 130 nt
Organism: Paramuricea clavata
Lineage: Eukaryota; Metazoa; Cnidaria; Anthozoa; Malacalcyonacea; Plexauridae
Source: the annotation of a GenBank genome assembly